GACGAACGCUGGCGGCGUGCCUAAUACAUGCAAGUUGAGCGCUGAAGGUUGGUACUUGUACCAACUGGAUGAGCAGCGAACGGGUGAGUAACGCGUGGGGAAUCUGCCUUUGAGCGGGGGACAACAUUUGGAAACGAAUGCUAAUACCUCAUAAAAACUUUAAACACAAGUUUUAAGUUUGAAAGAUGCAAUUGCAUCACUCAAGAUGAUCCCGCGUUGUAUUAGCUAGUUGGUGAGGUAAAGGCUCACCAAGGCGAUGAUACAUAGCCGACCUGAGAGGGUGAUCGGCCACAUUGGGACUGAGACACGGCCCAAACUCCUACGGGAGGCAGCAGUAGGGAAUCUUCGGCAAUGGACGAAAGUCUGACCGAGCAACGCCGCGUGAGUGAAGAAGGUUUUCGGAUCGUAAAACUCUGUUGGUAGAGAAGAACGUUGGUGAGAGUGGAAAGCUCAUCAAGUGACGGUAACUACCCAGAAAGGGACGGCUAACUACGUG
This 496-nucleotide ribosomal RNA is filed under the name uncultured bacterium. RNAcentral's name for it is "partial 16S ribosomal RNA". It matches the Rfam family "Bacterial small subunit ribosomal RNA", at positions 28 to 507 of the family's 1533-position model. The record is from RNAcentral.